Molecule: small nucleolar RNA, 110 nt
Filed under: Ananas comosus (pineapple)
Lineage: Eukaryota; Viridiplantae; Streptophyta; Magnoliopsida; Poales; Bromeliaceae
Description: Small nucleolar RNA snoR97
Rfam family: Small nucleolar RNA snoR97
Source: Rfam by way of RNAcentral
UUGAUAACAUGGCAGUGGAGGCUUACAAAACUCAUAGAGCUAUGUGCUGUCAUCACCUUCAUCUCUGCUUUACUCUUAAGAGAUCGGAGUUGAAUAACAACACGACAUAC